AGAGCGUAUGGGAGGUCAAGAAGCCCUAUAUGAGGAUAAUGGUCUCAGUCCUGACCGUUCUUUUAGGUUUCGCGGUCAUGUAUAUGUCUGGAAUAAGUUCGAAGAAGUAAAGCAAAGUCUACAAAAGCAGUGUCUCUUUAAUUAGGUGUAGAAGUCACGGGAGUUUGUUGGUCUUUAUCGCAUUCACGUGAGUUUGUUAGUCAGAGUCUGUUGGUCUUUAUCGCAUUCACGGGAGUUUGAAGUUUGUCACGGGUGUGGAGGAAGUCACGGGUGUCAAGUUUCACUUCUAUAAGUGCAGCUGUUUUAUCGUUUUAGUUUAUU
Molecule: long non-coding RNA, 321 nt
Organism: Brassica oleracea var. oleracea
Lineage: Eukaryota; Viridiplantae; Streptophyta; Magnoliopsida; Brassicales; Brassicaceae
Exons: 3
Source: RefSeq, a predicted model, not a curated record